Molecule: ribosomal RNA, 253 nt
Filed under: uncultured bacterium
Lineage: Bacteria
Description: partial 16S ribosomal RNA
Rfam family: Bacterial small subunit ribosomal RNA
Source: RNAcentral
UACGUAGGGUGCAAGCGUUAAUCGGAAUUACUGGGCGUAAAGCGUGCGCAGGCGGCUUUGCAAGACAGAUGUGAAAUCCCCGGGCUCAACCUGGGAACUGCAUUUGUGACUGUAGAGCUGGAGUGCGGCAGAGGGGGAUGGAAUUCCGCGUGUAGCAGUGAAAUGCGUAGAUAUGCGGAGGAACACCGAUGGCGAAGGCAAUCCCCUGGGCAUGCACUGACGCUCAUGCACGAAAGCGUGGGGAGCAAACAGG